This 233-nucleotide ribosomal RNA is filed under the name uncultured bacterium. Its description in RNAcentral is "partial 16S ribosomal RNA". It matches the Rfam family "Bacterial small subunit ribosomal RNA", at positions 524 to 757 of the family's 1533-position model. The record is from RNAcentral.
UACAGAGGGUGCGAGCGUUAAUCGGAAUUACUGGGCGUAAAGCGUGCGUAGACGGUUCUGUAAGUCGGAUGUGAAAUCCCCGGGCUCAACCUGGGAAUUGCAUUCGAGACUGCAAAGCUUGGGUGCGGAAGAGGGAAGCGGAAUUUCCGGUGUAGCGGUGAAAUGCGUAGAUAUCGGAAGGAACAUCAGUGGCGAAAGCGGCUUCCUGGUCCAGCACCGACGUCAGGCACGAA